RNAcentral lists this ribosomal RNA (253 nucleotides) under uncultured bacterium. RNAcentral's name for it is "partial 16S ribosomal RNA". It matches the Rfam family "Bacterial small subunit ribosomal RNA", at positions 524 to 776 of the family's 1533-position model. The record is from RNAcentral.
UACGGAGGGUGCGAGCGUUAAUCGGAAUUACUGGGCGUAAAGCGUGCGUAGGCGGUUGGUUAAGUCAGAUGUGAAAGCCCUAGGCUCAACCUGGGAACGGCAUUUGAAACUGGCCAGCUAGAGUUAGGUAGAGGGGAGCGGAAUUUCAGGUGUAGCGGUGAAAUGCGUAGAUACCUGAAGGAACACCAGUGGCGAAGGCGGCUCCCUGGACCCAAACUGACGCUGAGGUACGAAAGCGUGGGUAGCAAACAGG